Long non-coding RNA from Humulus lupulus (European hop), 771 nucleotides. RefSeq lists it as uncharacterized. The transcript is spliced from 3 exons. The record is from RefSeq and is a predicted model, not a curated record. NCBI's taxonomy places the organism in Eukaryota, Viridiplantae, Streptophyta, Magnoliopsida, Rosales, Cannabaceae.
UUGAAUACAAUGAGUAUGGUCAACUAGUGGGUGGAUCUAGAAGUAAUGUUUCAUCACAGCUUGGAUCAGUUGUUCGAGCAACUGUGUCCAUCAACAUUAACAGUUGGAAAGAUGUUAGUGUGGUGGAUAAAAAUAAAAUAUGGGACACAAUGAAGAAAACUUAUGAUUUGGACCCCAAACAAAAGCAACAGAUGUUGAAGGAUGCGGGAAAGUACUUCCGAAAUUGGAAGACUAAUCUUACUAGGGUACACGUUUACGACGCUUUGAAAAAAUACCCAAAUGAGUUCCCGCCAGCUUUGCCAUUUGGAUUUGAGAAUGUCAUAACUCCGGAUGAAUGGUAAACGUUUGUGAACUCAAGAUUAACUCCCGAGUGGCAAAGAAAGAGAGAGGAGAUGCAAAAUUAUCGAGCACUGAAUAAAUACAAUCACAACCUCUCUAGAGGAGGCUAUGUGCGUAUUGAAGAGAUGUUAAUGGAACAAAGUGGGAAAAGUGUGACUGAACUUGAUAGGGCAGACUUAUGGAGCAUGGGUCGUCAGAAUGCAAAAGGAGAGCUAAUUGGAGAGGCCUCUGAGAUUCAAAAAAAUAUUGAUCAUUACCGGCAACUCCAAGCUGAGGGUAAAUGGGCACCUGAUGGCCCUGAUGAUGUGCUGACGAGGGCGUUGGGCACUCCUGAGCCUCGAGGACGUGUUAGGGCUGGAGGACACGGUGUGUCCCGCUCAGUAUACUGGAAUACUCCAACACCUACCUCAACGAAAAAUAAAUCAAAAGCCU